This is a long non-coding RNA of Myotis brandtii (Brandt's bat), 1303 nucleotides long. RefSeq lists it as uncharacterized. The record is from RefSeq and is a predicted model, not a curated record. The transcript is spliced from 2 exons. NCBI's taxonomy places the organism in Eukaryota, Metazoa, Chordata, Mammalia, Chiroptera, Vespertilionidae.
UAUUUUUUAUUUUUAUCAACCAACAAAUAGGGAAAAAUUUAUACUGAUAAUAAAGAUAAAUGACAUUCCCUUUUUCAAAAUUUACACAAUGCCAUGAAAUUUAUCUAACUUUUAAUAAGGGGAAGCUGAAUUUGGUGUACGAACUUAAGAAGUAGUGUUAUAAAAAAUUUAAUUUUAUUCUCCUUCAGUUCCAGAGAGUUCCACUCCUUAUAAUAUUUAUUAAUAACACCAGGAAAAAUUAGGAAAUUUCUUUUAAAGGUCAUUUACCAUUUCAACCUUCCUUUUCAAGUUUCAUAAACAAACUACUUAAAAUUCACUCUUGGCAGUCUCAAAAAUACACAUCACAUCUCUUGAAUCAUAUUCCUAUAGUAAAAUUCCAAAGUGAAUCAGUUUUAAUUUAUUUUCAGCAGAUGUAAUACAUAUUUUAUAUACACAUUUUCAUUUAAAAUUAAGGUUUUUGGCACAGAAUCCCAGGCCUGUUGUUUUCAAAUGGUGUCUCCACUGCUUUCCACCAACCAACUAGGGGGAGUUUGGAAGGAAACGGUGCUCUCAGUGCCUGGAUCUUGUAUGUAUGAGCGCUCCCCUCUGCCUCCCACCACAGCCCAUCAGUGUCCCGAGCCUUCAGAGCAUGAGAAUAAAGGCUAGAAUAGUUACUUCUGCACAUCGGUGGGGGAGAAGAUGGGGGCAGAGAGCCGCUGCCAAGGUUCCUAAGCACUGUGUCUUUAAAUUUAUGCAUGUUUCGCAUCAGUAAUACUGCGGCCACGCGUACCCUUUGCUGUAACUCCAGUGUGAAUCUGUGGAGCUACACGAGUGGCUUAAUUCAUGUCCAAACCCAGACAUUUAGAAUCUUGUUCCAGUCACGUUUGAAAGAGGGUUUUUAUUUUUUCCAGAAAAACUGUCAGUCCAAGAAAAUCUGCAUAUAAGAGACGGAAACUCAAGUCAUCUUUAAUGCUUAUGUCCCACUGCUUGCUCUUCCUGCUGUGCUUUUAAAAGCACUCAGCCUCUGGAUUCAACGUUCCCGAAUGCGCUACAGAAACAUUCCCAAGCAGAUGGUCACAGAUGGGCGUGAAGGGGACGCUCCUGCCUCCUCCUCCAGCAUCUCACACUCUAACUGGCCCACGCGUUUCAGCAGGUGCUGCGCUGGCUCCCCACUCGCCAGAGGCCCCAUAGUGUUGCUCCAUCGAAGCUGCCCCCCGUCUGUCACACCCACAGACGGGUGUCACCCACACAGCCUUUCUCUUUGCACCAUUUACACACGAAGAGGCGAUGGAAUCCAUAUGUCACCCCAACACACAUAGAAUGA